GAUGAAGAACGUAGCGAAAUGCGAUACUUGGUGUGAAUUGCAGAAUCCCGUGAACCAUCGAGUCUUUGAACGCAAGUUGCGCCUGAAGCCAUUAGGCCGAGGGCACGCCUGCCUGGGCGUCACACGUCGUUGCCCCCCCAUCUACUCCUUCGGGAUUGCGGGGGGCGGAUGAUGGCCUCCCGUGCGCCUCGUCGCGCGGUUGGCAUAAAUGCCAAGUCCUCGGCGACGCACGCCACGACAAUCGGUGGUUGCGAAACCUCGGUUGCCCGUCGUGUGCGGUCGUCGCGCAUCGAGGGCUCGAAAAAAUGGCCGGGCUCCGGCUCGGCUUUCAACGCGACCCCAGGUCAGGCGGGGUUACCCGCUGAAUUUAAGCAUAUCAAUAAGCGGAGGA
Molecule: unclassified non-coding RNA, 391 nt
Filed under: soil metagenome
Description: partial contains 5.8S ribosomal RNA, internal transcribed spacer 2, and large subunit ribosomal RNA
Rfam family: 5.8S ribosomal RNA (bases 1-122)
Source: RNAcentral